UACGUAGGUGGCAAGCGUUGUCCGGAUUUAUUGGGUUUAAAGGGUGCGUAGGCGGCCUAUUAAGUCAGGGGUGAAAGACGGUGGCUCAACCAUCGCAGUGCCUUUGAUACUGAUGGGCUUGAUUACACUUGAGGUAGGCGGAAUGUGACAAGUAGCGGUGAAAUGCAUAGAUAUGUCACAGAACACCAAUUGCGAAGGCAGCUUACUAAGGUGUUAAUGACGCUGAGGCACGAAAGCGUGGGGAUCAAACAGG
Molecule: ribosomal RNA, 253 nt
Filed under: uncultured bacterium
Lineage: Bacteria
Description: partial 16S ribosomal RNA
Rfam family: Bacterial small subunit ribosomal RNA
Source: RNAcentral